RNAcentral lists this ribosomal RNA (429 nucleotides) under uncultured bacterium. Its description in RNAcentral is "bacterial SSU rRNA". It matches the Rfam family "Bacterial small subunit ribosomal RNA", at positions 349 to 793 of the family's 1533-position model. The record is from RNAcentral.
CAGCAGUGGGGAAUCUUGCGCAAUGGGCGAAAGCCUGACGCAGCCAUGCCGCGUGAAUGAUGAAGGUCUUAGGAUUGUAAAAUUCUUUCACCGGGGACGAUAAUGACGGUACCCCGGAGAAGAAGCCCCGGCUAACUUCGUGCCAGCAGCCGCGGUAAUACGAAGGGGGCUAGCGUUGCUCGGAAUUACUGGGCGUAAAGGGAGUGUAGGCGGACAUUUAAGUCAGGGGUGAAAUACCCGGGGCUCAACCUCGGAAUUGCCUUUGAUACUGGGUGUCUUGAGUGUGAGAGAGGUAUGUGGAACUCCGAGUGUAGAGGUGAAAUUCGUAGAUAUUCGGAAGAACACCAGUGGCGAAGGCGACAUACUGGCUCAUUACUGACGCUGAGGCUCGAAAGCGUGGGGAGCAAACAGGAUUAGAUACCCUGGUAG